UACAGAGGGGGCAAGCGUUGUCCGGAAUUACUGGGCGUACAGCGCGCGCAGGCGGUGGCCGACGUGCCGUGUGACAAGCGGGGGCUCAACCCCCGAGGGCCACGGUAAACGGGGUGACUGGAGGACGGGAGAGGGAUGUGGAAUGCCCGGUGGAGCGGUGAAAUGCGUAGAGAUCGGAAAGAACACCAACGGCGAAAGCACUCUGCUGGGCCGACACUGACACUGAGAGACGAAAGCUAGGGGAGCGAAUGGG
This 253-nucleotide ribosomal RNA is filed under the name uncultured bacterium. RNAcentral describes it as "partial 16S ribosomal RNA". It matches the Rfam family "Bacterial small subunit ribosomal RNA", at positions 524 to 776 of the family's 1533-position model. The record is from RNAcentral.